RNAcentral lists this transfer RNA (82 nucleotides) under Candidatus Lloydbacteria bacterium RIFCSPHIGHO2_01_FULL_54_11. RNAcentral's name for it is "tRNA-Leu". It matches the Rfam family "tRNA". Rfam says of the family: Transfer RNA (tRNA) molecules are approximately 80 nucleotides in length. The record is from RNAcentral. Lineage: Bacteria; Candidatus Lloydiibacteriota. RNAcentral also lists the same sequence under 4 other names.
GGGUAGGUGGCGAAAUUGGCAGACGCGCCAGCCUUAGGAGCUGGUCCCGCAAGGGGUGCGAGUUCAAGUCUCGCCCUACCCA